AAUCUUCCGCAAUGGACGCAAGUCUGACGGAGCGACGCCGCGUGAGCGAAGAAGGUCUUCGGAUCGUAAAGCUCUGUUGUCAGGGAAGAACAAGUACCGGAGUAACUGCCGGUACCUUGACGGUACCUUACCUAGAAAGCCACGGCUAACUACGUGCCAGCAGCCGCGGUAAUACGUAGGUGGCAAGCGUUGUCCGGAAUUAUUGGGCGUAAAGCGCGCGCAGGCGGCCCCUUAAGUCUGAUGUGAAAGCCCACGGCUCAACCGUGGAGGGUCAUUGGAAACUGGAGGACUUGAGUACAGAAGAGGAAAGCGGAAUUCCAUGUGUAGCGGUGAAAUGCGUAGAGAUAUGGAGGAACACCAGUGGCGAAGGCGACUCUCUGGUCUGUAACUGACGCUGAGGCGCGAAAGCGUGGGGAUCAAACA
Molecule: ribosomal RNA, 423 nt
Filed under: uncultured bacterium
Lineage: Bacteria
Description: partial 16S ribosomal RNA
Rfam family: Bacterial small subunit ribosomal RNA
Source: RNAcentral